UUUGCUUAGAAGAAAAGUGCAUUUGUCUUUGAAAAAGGAAGGUGCUGAGGACUGCCUUUGACAGAAACAGCUUCAUGGGAACUCUCAGAUGCUGACACACUGACCCUCCGUGCUUGGCUGCAGUUUCCAAGAAAUUAUUUGGGGCAUAUGGAGGGAAUGUCAGUGUAACAGUAUUGGCUUGUGAAGAGAGCUUGGAAUUCAAAUUCCCCUUGUGAAGGAGAUGUACUGAUGCUGGCAACACAGAACACUUUCUCUGCAGCACCAAAGAUCAUCUGAUCAUGUCCAUUCAAACAGAAACCUGUUCCAUAUAGCUCCCCACACAUCUUCUCUGGGCACAGAAAAACCGAGAAAACUUAUACCCCAAAGAAAAGGAGAAAAAUCAUUAUUGACCAGUGGAUAUGCAAUGUGAAGAAAUCUGAUCAUAAACAUAUAACCACCCAACAGACCUCAGUACAAGAAAUAAGGACAAUCUGCCUUAAAACACAUGAAUGUGAUUCAUUAAAUUUAGUUAUU
Molecule: long non-coding RNA, 513 nt
Organism: Zonotrichia albicollis (white-throated sparrow)
Lineage: Eukaryota; Metazoa; Chordata; Aves; Passeriformes; Passerellidae
Source: RefSeq, a predicted model, not a curated record